RNAcentral lists this ribosomal RNA (850 nucleotides) under Staphylococcus caprae. Its description in RNAcentral is "bacterial SSU rRNA". It matches the Rfam family "Bacterial small subunit ribosomal RNA", at positions 79 to 915 of the family's 1533-position model. Lineage: Bacteria; Bacillati; Bacillota; Bacilli; Caryophanales; Staphylococcaceae. The record is from RNAcentral.
UGCUCCUCUGACGUUAGCGGCGGACGGGUGAGUAACACGUGGAUAACCUACCUAUAAGACUGGGAUAACUUCGGGAAACCGGAGCUAAUACCGGAUAACAUGUUGAACCGCAUGGUUCAACAGUGAAAGACGGUCUUGCUGUCACUUAUAGAUGGAUCCGCGCCGCAUUAGCUAGUUGGUAAGGUAACGGCUUACCAAGGCAACGAUGCGUAGCCGACCUGAGAGGGUGAUCGGCCACACUGGAACUGAGACACGGUCCAGACUCCUACGGGAGGCAGCAGUAGGGAAUCUUCCGCAAUGGGCGAAAGCCUGACGGAGCAACGCCGCGUGAGUGAAGAAGGUCUUCGGAUCGUAAAACUCUGUUAUUAGGGAAGAACAAAUGUGUAAGUAACUAUGCACGUCUUGACGGUACCUAAUCAGAAAGCCACGGCUAACUACGUGCCAGCAGCCGCGGUAAUACGUAGGUGGCAAGCGUUAUCCGGAAUUAUUGGGCGUAAAGCGCGCGUAGGCGGUUUUUUAAGUCUGAUGUGAAAGCCCACGGCUCAACCGUGGAGGGUCAUUGGAAACUGGAAAACUUGAGUGCAGAAGAGGAAAGUGGAAUUCCAUGUGUAGCGGUGAAAUGCGCAGAGAUAUGGAGGAACACCAGUGGCGAAGGCGACUUUCUGGUCUGUAACUGACGCUGAUGUGCGAAAGCGUGGGGAUCAAACAGGAUUAGAUACCCUGGUAGUCCACGCCGUAAACGAUGAGUGCUAAGUGUUAGGGGGUUUCCGCCCCUUAGUGCUGCAGCUAACGCAUUAAGCACUCCGCCUGGGGAGUACGACCGCAAGGUUGAAACUCAAAGGAAUUGACG